AAUGGGCGCAAGCCUGAUCCAGCCAUGCCGCGUGAGUGAAGAAGGCCCUAGGGUUGUAAAACUCUUUCAGCAGGGAAGAUGAUGACGGUACCUGCAGAAGAAGCCCCGGCCAACUCCGUGCCAGCAGCCGCGGUAAUACGGAGGGGGCAAGCGUUGUUCGGAAUUACUGGGCGUAAAGCGCGCGUAGGCGGUUAGCAUAGUCAGGCGUGAAAUCCCGGGGCUCAACCUCGGAACUGCGCUUGAUACUGGUUAACUAGAGGUCUGGAGAGGGUAGUGGAAUUCCCAGUGUAGAGGUGAAAUUCGUAGAUAUUGGGAAGAACACCAGUGGCGAAGGCGGCUACCUGGACAGAUACUGACGCUGAGGUGCGAAAGCGUGGGAAGUGAACAGGAUU
Molecule: ribosomal RNA, 392 nt
Filed under: uncultured Gammaproteobacteria bacterium
Lineage: Bacteria; Pseudomonadati; Pseudomonadota; Gammaproteobacteria
Description: bacterial SSU rRNA
Rfam family: Bacterial small subunit ribosomal RNA
Source: RNAcentral